RNAcentral lists this ribosomal RNA (34 nucleotides) under Epibryon minutissimum. RNAcentral's name for it is "Cladophialophora minutissima partial 28S ribosomal RNA". Lineage: Eukaryota; Fungi; Ascomycota; Eurotiomycetes; Chaetothyriales; Epibryaceae. The record is from RNAcentral.
AGGUUGACCUCGGAUCAGGUAGGAAUACCCGCUG